This 497-nucleotide ribosomal RNA is filed under the name Staphylococcus hominis. RNAcentral describes it as "bacterial SSU rRNA". It matches the Rfam family "Bacterial small subunit ribosomal RNA", at positions 49 to 527 of the family's 1533-position model. The record is from RNAcentral. Lineage: Bacteria; Bacillati; Bacillota; Bacilli; Caryophanales; Staphylococcaceae.
CUAUACAUGCAAGUCGAGCGAACAGACGAGGAGCUUGCUCCUUUGACGUUAGCGGCGGACGGGUGAGUAACACGUAGGUAACCUACCUAUAAGACUGGGAUAACUUCGGGAAACCGGAGCUAAUACCGGAUAAUAUUUCGAACCGCAUGGUUCGAUAGUGAAAGAUGGCUUUGCUAUCACUUAUAGAUGGACCUGCGCCGUAUUAGCUAGUUGGUAAGGUAACGGCUUACCAAGGCAACGAUACGUAGCCGACCUGAGAGGGUGAUCGGCCACACUGGAACUGAGACACGGUCCAGACUCCUACGGGAGGCAGCAGUAGGGAAUCUUCCGCAAUGGGCGAAAGCCUGACGGAGCAACGCCGCGUGAGUGAUGAAGGUCUUCGGAUCGUAAAACUCUGUUAUUAGGGAAGAACAAACGUGUAAGUAACUGUGCACGUCUUGACGGUACCUAAUCAGAAAGCCACGGCUAACUACGUGCCAGCAGCGGCCGGUAAUAAA